This is a non-coding RNA of Ascodesmis nigricans, 105 nucleotides long. NCBI's taxonomy places the organism in Eukaryota, Fungi, Ascomycota, Pezizomycetes, Pezizales, Ascodesmidaceae. The record is from the annotation of a GenBank genome assembly.
GCUUGGUUGGCUCAGUUGGUAGAGCGUUGGUCUCAUAUCGUAGAAUAUGACUGGUUCUCAGAAUCGGAAAUCCAAAGGUCGUGAGUUCGAGCCUCACACUGAGCA